AACGAACGCUGGCGGCAUGCCUAACACAUGCAAGUCGAACGAGACCUUCGGGUCUAGUGGCGCACGGGUUCGUAACGCGUGGGAACCUGCCCUUAGGUUCGGAAUAACUCCCCGAAAGGGGUGCUAAUACCGGAUAAUGUCUUCGGACCAAAGAUUUAUCGCCUUUGGAUGGGCCCGCGUUGGAUUAGCUAGUUGUUAGGGUAAAAGCCUACCAAGGCGACGAUCCAUAGCUGGUCUGAGAGGAUGAUCAGCCACACUGGGACUGAGACACGGCCCAGACUCCUACGGGAGGCAGCAGUGGGGAAUAGUGGACAAUGGGCGAAAGCCUGAUCCAGCAAUGCCGCGUGAGUGAUGAAGGCAUUAGGGUUGUAAAGCUCUUUUACCCGGGAUGAUAAUGACAGUACCGGGAGAAUAAGCUCCGGCUAACUCCGUG
RNAcentral lists this ribosomal RNA (433 nucleotides) under uncultured bacterium. Its description in RNAcentral is "partial 16S ribosomal RNA". It matches the Rfam family "Bacterial small subunit ribosomal RNA", at positions 29 to 507 of the family's 1533-position model. The record is from RNAcentral.